Molecule: transfer RNA, 91 nt
Organism: Hypholoma sublateritium FD-334 SS-4
Lineage: Eukaryota; Fungi; Basidiomycota; Agaricomycetes; Agaricales; Strophariaceae
Rfam family: tRNA
About the family: Transfer RNA (tRNA) molecules are approximately 80 nucleotides in length. Their secondary structure includes four short double-helical elements and three loops (D, anti-codon, and T loops). Further hydrogen bonds mediate the characteristic L-shaped molecular structure. tRNAs have two regions of fundamental functional importance: the anti-codon, which is responsible for specific mRNA codon recognition, and the 3' end, to which the tRNAs corresponding amino acid is attached (by aminoacyl-tRNA synthetases). tRNAs cope with the degeneracy of the genetic code in two manners: having more than one tRNA (with a specific anti-codon) for a particular amino acid; and 'wobble' base-pairing, i.e. permitting non-standard base-pairing at the 3rd anti-codon position.
Source: Rfam
UCCCUCUUAGCUCAGUGGUAGAGCGCGUCACUAGUAAUUCUAUUAUGAGGAGUUCAUGACGAGGUCAGUCGUUCAAGUCGGCUAGCGGGAA